GACGAACGCUGGCGGCGUGCUUAACACAUGCAAGUCGAACGUGAUUUUUAUGGAAAUUCUUUCGGGAAUGGAAAUGAAAUGAAAGUGGCGAACGGGUGAGUAACACGUGAGCAACCUACCUUACACAGGGGGAUAGCCGUUGGAAACGACGAUUAAUACCGCAUGAGACCACAGAAUCGCAUGAUAUAGGGGUCAAAGAUUUAUCGGUGUAAGAAGGGCUCGCGUCUGAUUAGCUAGUUGGAAGGGUAGAGGCCUACCAAGGCGACGAUCAGUAGCCGGUCUGAGAGGAUGAACGGCCACAUUGGAACUGAGACACGGUCCAAACUCCUACGGGAGGCAGCAGUGGGGAAUAUUGCACAAUGGGGGGAACCCUGAUGCAGCGACGCCGCGUGAGCGAAGAAGGUUUUCGAAUCGUAAAGCUCUGUCCUAUGAGAAGAUAAUGACGGUAUCA
This 451-nucleotide ribosomal RNA is filed under the name Parvimonas micra. RNAcentral's name for it is "bacterial SSU rRNA". It matches the Rfam family "Bacterial small subunit ribosomal RNA", at positions 28 to 480 of the family's 1533-position model. Lineage: Bacteria; Bacillati; Bacillota; Tissierellia; Tissierellales; Peptoniphilaceae. The record is from RNAcentral.